Transfer RNA from Methanohalobium evestigatum Z-7303, 74 nucleotides. It matches the Rfam family "tRNA". From Rfam's summary of the family: Transfer RNA (tRNA) molecules are approximately 80 nucleotides in length. Their secondary structure includes four short double-helical elements and three loops (D, anti-codon, and T loops). The record is from Rfam. NCBI's taxonomy places the organism in Archaea, Methanobacteriati, Methanobacteriota, Methanomicrobia, Methanosarcinales, Methanosarcinaceae.
GGGCCCGUAGUCUAGCAGGUUAUGACGUCGCCUUCACACGGCGGAGGUCUCGAGUUCGAAUCUCGACGGGCCCA